AGUGGCGCACGAGUGAGUAACGCGUGGGAAGCUACCCAAUCACUCGGGGAAUAACGUUUGGAAACGAACGCUAAUACCGCAUACGCCCGAAAGGGGAAAGAUUUAUCGGUGAUGGAUGUGCCCGCGUUGGAUUAGCUUGUUGUGGGGUAACGGCCUACCAAGGCGAUGAUCCAUAGCUGGUCUGAGAGGACGAUCAGCCACGCUGGGACUGAGACACGGCCCAGACUCCUACGGGAGGCAGCAGCUAAGAAUAUUGGACAAUGGGGGAAACCCUGAAUCCAGCCAUGCCGCGUGAAUGAAGAAGGCCUUCGGGUUGUAAAGUUCUUUUAGUAGUGAAGAUGAUGACAGUAGCUACAGAAAAAGCACCGGCUAACUUCGUGCCAGCCGCGGC
RNAcentral lists this ribosomal RNA (391 nucleotides) under uncultured bacterium. RNAcentral describes it as "bacterial SSU rRNA". It matches the Rfam family "Bacterial small subunit ribosomal RNA", at positions 94 to 518 of the family's 1533-position model. The record is from RNAcentral.